UUAGGUACAUAAGCCAUGUAGAUUGUUUACUUCUUACUAACCAAAUGUAGAGCUUGUUAGUAGAAGCUCUGCCUACUAUGCAGUUUAUAUUAUCAGAAAUCUGCUU
This is a long non-coding RNA of Amblyraja radiata (thorny skate), 106 nucleotides long. RefSeq lists it as uncharacterized. The record is from RefSeq and is a predicted model, not a curated record. The transcript is spliced from 3 exons. NCBI's taxonomy places the organism in Eukaryota, Metazoa, Chordata, Chondrichthyes, Rajiformes, Rajidae.